This 590-nucleotide ribosomal RNA is filed under the name uncultured bacterium. Its description in RNAcentral is "bacterial SSU rRNA". It matches the Rfam family "Bacterial small subunit ribosomal RNA", at positions 9 to 596 of the family's 1533-position model. The record is from RNAcentral.
GAGUUUGAUCCUGGCUCAGGACGAACGCUGGCGGCGUGCCUAACACAUGCAAGUCGAGCGAAGUUUUUCGGAAUGAAACUUUCGGGUGGAAUGAAGAAUUAUCUUAGCGGCGAACGGGUGAGUAACGCGUGAGAAACCUGCCUUUCACAACGGGAUAGCCUCUGGAAACGGGGAUUAAUACCGUAUGAUAUUGUACCUUCACAUGAGGGAACAAUUAAAGCGUAAAGCGGUGAAAGAUGGUCUCGCGUCCUAUUAGUUAGUUGGUGAGGUAAUGGCUCACCAAGACAGCGAUAGGUAGCCGGCCUGAGAGGGUGAACGGCCACACUGGAACUGAGACACGGUCCAGACUCCUACGGGAGGCAGCAGUGGGGAAUAUUGCACAAUGGAGGAAACUCUGAUGCAGCGACGCCGCGUGAAUGAUGAAGGCCUUCGGGUCGUAAAAUUCUGUCCUUGGGGAAGAUAAUGACGGUACCCAAGGAGGAAGCCCCGGCUAACUACGUGCCAGCAGCCGCGGUAAUACGUAGGGGGCGAGCGUUGUCCGGAAUUAUUGGGCGUAAAGGGUUCGCAGGCGGUCUGAUAAGUCAGAUGUG